GCCAGCAUGGUGUAGUGGUUUGGAUUUUGGACUAUGACUCUGGAGACCAGAGUUCAAUUCCCAGCUCAGUCA
Phrynosoma platyrhinos (Desert horned lizard) is the source of this 72-nucleotide non-coding RNA. NCBI's taxonomy places the organism in Eukaryota, Metazoa, Chordata, Lepidosauria, Squamata, Phrynosomatidae. The record is from the annotation of a GenBank genome assembly.